GCCGGGCCCGUGGCUGGUGCCUGUGAUCCCAGCGGCGGGGGAGGCUGAGGCCGGCGGAUCGCUUGAGCUCAGGAGUUCUGGGCUGCAGCGGGCUGUGCCGAGCGGGUGUCCGCACUGAGUUCGGCAUCGAUAUGGGGAUCCCGGGGAAGCUCGGGGUCCCCAGGUUGCCUAAGAAGGGGUGAACCGGCCCAGGUCGGAAACGGAGCAGGUCAAAGCUCCCGUGCCGAUCAGUAGUGGGAUCGCGCCUGUGAAUGGCCCCUGCAGCGUAGCCUGGGCGAGACAGUGAGACCCGGUCUCUU
RNAcentral lists this signal recognition particle RNA (299 nucleotides) under Chelydra serpentina (North American snapping turtle). Its description in RNAcentral is "Metazoan signal recognition particle RNA (ENSCSRG00000005775.1)". It matches the Rfam family "Metazoan signal recognition particle RNA". Rfam says of the family: The signal recognition particle (SRP) is a universally conserved ribonucleoprotein. It is involved in the co-translational targeting of proteins to membranes. The record is from Rfam by way of RNAcentral. Lineage: Eukaryota; Metazoa; Chordata; Testudines; Chelydridae.